GAUGAACGCUGGCGGCGUGCCUAAUACAUGCAAGUCGAGCGAAUGGAUUGAGAGCUUGCUCUUAUGAAGUUAGCGGCGGACGGGUGAGUAACACGUGGGUAACCUGCCCAUAAGACUGGGAUAACUCUGGGAAACCGGGGCUAAUACCGGAUAACAUUUUGAACCGCAUGGUUCGAAAUUGAAAGGCGGCUUAGGCUGUCAAUUAUGGAUGGACCCGGGUCGCAUUAGCUAGUUGGUGAGGUAACGGCUCACCAAGGCAACGAUGCGUAGCCGACCUCAGAGGGUGAGCGGCCACACUGGGACUUAGACACGACCCAGACUCCUACGGGAGGCAGCAGUGGGGAAUCUUCCGCAAUGGACGAAAGUCUGACGGAGCAACGCCGCGUGAGUGAUGAAGGCUUUCGGGUCGCAAAACUCUGUUGUUAGGGAAGAACAAGUGCUAGUUGAAUAAGCUGGCACCUUGACGGUACCUAACCAGAAAGCCACGGCUAACUACGUGCCAGCCGCCGCAGUAA
This 515-nucleotide ribosomal RNA is filed under the name uncultured bacterium. Its description in RNAcentral is "partial 16S ribosomal RNA". It matches the Rfam family "Bacterial small subunit ribosomal RNA", at positions 28 to 523 of the family's 1533-position model. The record is from RNAcentral.